ACUAUGCUUGGCCCUAAACCUCAGUAGUUAGAUAACAAAACUACUCGCCAGAAUACUACAAGCAACAGCUUAAAACUCAAAGGACUUGACGGUGCUUUACACCCCCUAGAGGAGCCUGUUCCAUAAUCGAUAAACCCCGAUCCACCCCACCCUCUCUUGCUCAGCCUAUAUACCGCCAUCUUCAGCAAACCCUGAUGAAGGUCACAAAGUGAGCGCAAACGCCACUACCGCGAAGACGUUAGGUCAAGGUGUAGCCUAUGAGACGGUAAAAAAUGGGCUACAUUUUCUGUCUCAGAAAAUUCUACGAAAACCCUUAUGAAAUCUAAGGGUCCAAGGAGGAUUUAGCAGUAAAUUAAGAAUAGAGUGCUUAAUUGAACCAGGCCAUAAAGUGCGCACACACCGCCCGUCACUCCUCUCAAAUAUAUUUAAGGAAUAUCUUAACUAAACGCCCUAAUAUUUAUAUAGAGAGGAUAAGUCGUAACACGGUAAGCGUACUGGAAGGUGCGCUUGGAUAAAU
Molecule: ribosomal RNA, 517 nt
Filed under: Macaca radiata (bonnet macaque)
Lineage: Eukaryota; Metazoa; Chordata; Mammalia; Primates; Cercopithecidae
Description: partial 12S ribosomal RNA
Rfam family: Bacterial small subunit ribosomal RNA
Source: RNAcentral